UGGUGGAGUGAUUUGUCUGGUUAAUUCCGAUAACGAACGAGACCUUAACCUGCUAAAUAGUAACACUAACUUUUCCAAGUUGGUGGAGACUUCUUAGAGGGACUAUUGACGUUUAGUCAAUGGAAGUUUGAGGCAAUAACA
Molecule: ribosomal RNA, 141 nt
Filed under: uncultured eukaryote
Lineage: Eukaryota
Description: partial 18S ribosomal RNA
Rfam family: Eukaryotic small subunit ribosomal RNA
Source: RNAcentral